This 76-nucleotide transfer RNA is filed under the name Mycobacteroides abscessus subsp. abscessus. RNAcentral describes it as "tRNA-Gln(ctg)". Lineage: Bacteria; Bacillati; Actinomycetota; Actinomycetes; Mycobacteriales; Mycobacteriaceae. The record is from RNAcentral.
UGCCCCGUAGCACAAUUGGUAGUUGCGACCGGCUCUGACCCGGUAGGUUUCUGGUUCGAAUUCCAGGCGGGGCAGC